Molecule: ribosomal RNA, 466 nt
Filed under: uncultured bacterium
Lineage: Bacteria
Description: partial 16S ribosomal RNA
Rfam family: Bacterial small subunit ribosomal RNA
Source: RNAcentral
GACGAACGCUGGCGGCGCGCCUAACACAUGCAAGUCGAACGAGCGAGAGAGAGCUUGCUUUCUCGAGCAAGUGGCGAACGGGUGAGUAACGCGUGAGGAACCUGCCUCAAAGAGGGGGACAACAGUUGGAAACGACUGCUAAUACCGCAUAAGCCCACGGUGCCGCAUGGCACAGAGGGAAAAGGAGCAAUCCGCUUUGAGAUGGCCUCGCGUCCGAUUAGCUAGUUGGUGAGGUAAUGGCCCACCAAGGCGACGAUCGGUAGCCGGACUGAGAGGUUGAACGGCCACAUUGGGACUGAGACACGGCCCAGACUCCUACGGGAGGCAGCAGUGGGGAAUAUUGCACAAUGGGGGAAACCCUGAUGCAGCGACGCCGCGUGGAGGAAGAAGGUCUUCGGAUUGUAAACUCCUGUUGUUGGGGAAGAUAAUGACGGUACCCAACAAGGAAGUGACGGCUAACUACGUG